Molecule: ribosomal RNA, 468 nt
Filed under: uncultured bacterium
Lineage: Bacteria
Description: partial 16S ribosomal RNA
Rfam family: Bacterial small subunit ribosomal RNA
Source: RNAcentral
GACGAACGCUGGCGGCGUGCCUAACACAUGCAAGUCGAACGGAAAGGCGCGGCUUUUGUGGGGUGCUCGAGUGGCGAACGGGUGAGUAACACGUGAGUAACCUGCCCUUGACUUUGGGAUAACUUCAGGAAACUGGGGCUAAUACCGGAUAGGAGCUCCUGCUGCAUGGUGGGGGUUGGAAAGUUUCGGCGGUUGGGGAUGGACUCGCGGCUUAUCAGCUUGUUGGGGGGGUAGUGGAUUACCAAGGCUUUGACGGGUAGCCGGCCUGGGAGGGUGACAGGCCACAUUGGGACUGAGGUACGGCCCAGACUGGUACGGGAGGCAGCAGUGGGGAAUAUUGCACAAUGGGCGGAAGCCUGAUGCAGCAACGCCGCGUGCGGGAUGACGGCUUUCGGGUUAUAAACCGCUUUCGCCUGAAACGAGGCGUGAGUGACGGUAAUGGGUAAAGAAGCACCGGCUAACUACGUG